This 500-nucleotide ribosomal RNA is filed under the name uncultured bacterium. RNAcentral's name for it is "partial 16S ribosomal RNA". It matches the Rfam family "Bacterial small subunit ribosomal RNA", at positions 30 to 523 of the family's 1533-position model. The record is from RNAcentral.
AUUGAACGCUGGCGGAAUGCUUUACACAUGCAAGUCGAACGGCAGCACGGACUUCGGUCUGGUGGCGAGUGGCGAACGGGUGAGUAAUAUAUCGGAACGUGCCCAGUCGUGGGGGAUAACGUAGUGAAAAUUACGCUAAUACCGCAUACGAUCUAUGGAUGAAAGCGGGGGACCUUUGGGCCUCGCGCGAUUGGAGCGGCCGAUAUCAGAUUAGGUAGUUGGUGGGGUAAAGGCUCACCAAGCCAACGAUCUGUAGCUGGUCUGAGAGGACGAGCAGCCACACUGGGACUGAGACACGGCCCAGACUCCUACGGGAGGCAGCAGUGGGGAAUUUUGGACAAUGGACGCAAGUCUGAUCCAGCCAUUCCGCGUGCAGGACGAAGGCCUUCGGGUUGUAAACUGCUUUUGUACAGAACGAAAAGGUUUCUACUAAUACUAGGAGCUCAUGACGGUACCGUAAGAAUAAGCACCGGCUAACUACGUGCCAGCCGCCGCAGUAA